RNAcentral lists this ribosomal RNA (404 nucleotides) under Actinomycetes bacterium. RNAcentral describes it as "Actinobacteria bacterium partial 16S ribosomal RNA". It matches the Rfam family "Bacterial small subunit ribosomal RNA", at positions 355 to 776 of the family's 1533-position model. Lineage: Bacteria; Bacillati; Actinomycetota; Actinomycetes. The record is from RNAcentral.
UGGGGAAUAUUGGACAAUGGGCGCAAGCCUGAUCCAGCCAUGCCGCGUGAGUGAUGAAGGCCCUAGGGUUGUAAAGCUCUUUCACCGGUGAAGAUAAUGACGGUAACCGGAGAAGAAGCCCCGGCUAACUUCGUGCCAGCAGCCGCGGUAAUACGAAGGGGGCUAGCGUUGUUCGGAUUUACUGGGCGUAAAGCGCACGUAGGCGGACUAUUAAGUCAGGGGUGAAAUCCCGGGGCUCAACCCCGGAACUGCCUUUGAUACUGGUAGUCUUAAGUUCGAGAGAGGUGAGUGGAAUUCCGAGUGUAGAGGUGAAAUUCGUAGAUAUUCGGAGGAACACCAGUGGCGAAGGCGGCUCACUGGCUCGAUACUGACGCUGAGGUGCGAAAGCGUGGGGAGCAAACAGG